Molecule: ribosomal RNA, 389 nt
Filed under: uncultured bacterium
Lineage: Bacteria
Description: bacterial SSU rRNA
Rfam family: Bacterial small subunit ribosomal RNA
Source: RNAcentral
AUUGAACGCUGGCGGCAUGCCUUACACAUGCAAGUCGAACGGCAGCACGGACUUCGGUCUGGUGGCGAGUGGCGAACGGGUGAGUAAUGUAUCGGAACGUACCUUUCAGUGGGGGGAUAACGUAGCGAAAGUUACGCUAAUACCGCAUAUUCUGUGAGCAGGAAAGCAGGGGAUCGCAAGACCUUGCGCUGAUUGAGCGGCCGAUAUCAGAUUAGCUAGUUGGUGGGGUAAAGGCCUACCAAGGCUACGAUCUGUAGCGGGUCUGAGAGGAUGAUCCGCCACACUGGAACUGAGACACGGUCCAGACUCCUACGGGAGGCAGCAGUGGGGAAUUUUGGACAAUGGGGGCAACCCUGAUCCAGCCAUGCCGCGUGAGUGAAGAAGGCCUU